This is a non-coding RNA of Paramuricea clavata, 77 nucleotides long. NCBI's taxonomy places the organism in Eukaryota, Metazoa, Cnidaria, Anthozoa, Malacalcyonacea, Plexauridae. The record is from the annotation of a GenBank genome assembly.
GCCUCUGUAGCUCAAUUGCUUAGUUAGAGCGUUGCACCGGAAUCGCAGGGUCGCAGGUUCGAUUCCUGUCAGGGACC